This 447-nucleotide ribosomal RNA is filed under the name uncultured Selenomonas sp. Its description in RNAcentral is "bacterial SSU rRNA". It matches the Rfam family "Bacterial small subunit ribosomal RNA", at positions 355 to 794 of the family's 1533-position model. The record is from RNAcentral. Lineage: Bacteria; Bacillati; Bacillota; Negativicutes; Selenomonadales; Selenomonadaceae.
UGGGGAAUCUUCCGCAAUGGGCGAAAGCCUGACGGAGCAACGCCGCGUGAGUGAAGAAGGUCUUCGGAUCGUAAAGCUCUGUUGUCGGGGACGAAUGUUGAGGCCUAGAAUAUAGGUUUCAAAUGACGGUACCUGACGAGGAAGCCACGGCUAACUACGUGCCAGCAGCCGCGGUAAUACGUAGGUGGCGAGCGUUGUCCGGAAUUAUUGGGCGUAAAGGGAGCGCAGGCGGGAAGGUAAGUCUAUCUUAAAAGUGCGGGGCUUAACCCCGUGAUGGGAUGGAAACUGAGAGGCUGGAGUAUCGGAGAGGAAAGUGGAAUUCCUAGUGUAGCGGUGAAAUGCGUAGAGAUUAGGAAGAACACCGGUGGCGAAGGCGACUUUCUGGACGACAACUGACGCUGAGGCGCGAAAGCGUGGGGAGCAAACAGGAUUAGAUACCCUGGUAGU